GACGACGACUCCUACGGGAGGCAGCAGUGGGGGAAUAUUGCACAAUGGGCGCAAGCCUGAUGCAGCCAUGCCGCGUGUAUGAAGAAGGCCUUCGGGUUGUAAAGUACUUUCAGCAGUGAGGAAGGUGGGUAUGUUAAUAGCAUACUCAUUUGACGUUAGCUGCAGAAGAAGCACCGGCUAACUCCGUGCCAGCAGCCGCGGUAAUACGGAGGCGCGAGCGUUAAUCGGAAUUACUGGGCGUAAAGCGCAUGCAGGUGGUUUGUUAAGUCAGAUGUGAAAGCCCCGGGCUCAACCUCGGAAUUGCAUUUGAAACUGGCAAACUAGAGUACUGUAGAGGGGGUAGAAUUUCAGGUGUAACGGUGAAAUGCGUAGAGAUCUGAAGGAAUACCGGUGGCGAAGGCGGCCCCCCUGGACAGAUACUGACACUCAGAUGCGAAAAGCGUGGGGAGCAAACAGGAUUAGAUACCCUGGUAG
RNAcentral lists this ribosomal RNA (474 nucleotides) under uncultured bacterium. Its description in RNAcentral is "bacterial SSU rRNA". It matches the Rfam family "Bacterial small subunit ribosomal RNA", at positions 328 to 793 of the family's 1533-position model. The record is from RNAcentral.